This 1062-nucleotide long non-coding RNA is filed under the name Pogona vitticeps (central bearded dragon). RNAcentral's name for it is "lncRNA (ENSPVIG00000016107.1)". Lineage: Eukaryota; Metazoa; Chordata; Lepidosauria; Squamata; Agamidae. The record is from RNAcentral.
GGGAGGGUUGGAGUUUUCCUUUGGGGUUUUUGUGGGAUUUCCCCCCCCCCCGGUUUUUAAGGAUCUGGAUCGUUGCCAAACCAAGUGUGGAGCAGCGACAAAGAAUUCAGACCAAAGAGGAAAUUGAAAUACAGUUCCAUCUCUGUGCCCGCUUUUCCUUGGCCUGAAAAAAACUUUAUAGGAUGCCGAAAUCCCUGCUUUGUUCCCAACGCCCAACCCCCCACCCCUUGGGCUCCCUACUUAUCUCAUCGCUUUUGUGAGCUGGUGACGAUUCUAGGAAGCAGUUAGUGGAACCAGCUAAUUUUUACAAAGAAGAGAGAAGGGUCUGCAGAUCCACAUCCCAACACUUCAGGCACGGCUGGACCGGUUAUUAGAUUAUCUUCAUAAAGGAUCGUUUCGGGGACUUUCCUGAAGACGACAGGCCCAGUCCGGAAAGUAAAGAGCUUUCUUGUCCUGGUGAAUCUCCCAUUUAUUCUUCUGGCGCUAUAUUGUGCAGGAGAACUUCCCUGCGGAUGGUGCCUGGCUCCCCUUAAGCUGACGUCUCUGAACAGGCCCGUGAUCAGCUGGAUCUCUCAGACAGGAUUGUCUCAGUCAAAAGCAGAGAACAGAGAGGUAUGCAAACAUAGCUAACGUUUACUAUUUAUGUUUUGUUCCUGAAAACCGUGUCCGGGGCUCUUUACUUGAAUAUUUUGACACGGGAUCUCACAAGAAGGUUGGAGUGGAUUUCAGGACCAUAUCCUAUUGAACAAGUACAGUAUACGGGAACGAUUAGAAGGUUGAUCAUACACAGGAGUUGUUGUUCACGUCUAAAUAUGAAACCGCCACUUAUCCUUCAUUCCUUAAUUGUAGGCCAAAGUUGAUCAGAUAAGCUUUUAUGGGGAGGCGGUCUUCCUGUCCCUAUACAUUGAACAUGCGUCUCAAAGUUAAGUCCCCCCCCUCUCUUUCAUUCUCCUGCCCCAGUUUCUAGAAAUGUUCAACUUCAGACCCAUCUAUUAAACGGGGGAGGGGGGGAUGGAUGGAUGGAUAAAUAAAUACAUAAAUAAAUAAAUUAAAUAAAUAAAU